CUACGUGCCAGCAGCCGCGGUAAUACGGAAGGUCCAGGCGUUAUCCGGAUUUAUUGGGUUUAAAGGGAGUGUAGGCGGUUUGUUAAGCGUGUUGUGAAAUUUAGAUGCUCAACAUUUAACUUGCAGCGCGAACUGUCAGACUUGAGUACACGCAACGUAUGCGGAAUUCAUGGUGUAGCGGUGAAAUGCUUAGAUAUCAUGAAGAACUCCGAUUGCGAAGGCAGCAUACGGGAGUGUAACUGACGCUUAAGCUCGAAGGUGCGGGUAUCAAACAGGAUUAGAUACCCUGGUAGUCCGCACAGUAAACGAUGGAUGCCCGCUGUUGGUACCUGGUAUCAGCGGCUAAGCGAAAGCAUUAAGCAUCCCACCUGGGGAGUACGCCGGCAACGGUGAAACUCAAAGGAAUUGACGGGGGCCCGCACAAGCGGAGGAACAUGUGGUUUAAUUCGAUGAUACGCGAGGAACCUUACCCGGGCU
RNAcentral lists this ribosomal RNA (477 nucleotides) under uncultured bacterium. Its description in RNAcentral is "bacterial SSU rRNA". It matches the Rfam family "Bacterial small subunit ribosomal RNA", at positions 501 to 981 of the family's 1533-position model. The record is from RNAcentral.